GGGAAUAUUGCACAAUGGGGGAAACCCUGAUGCAGCGACGCCGCGUGAGGGAAGACGGUUUUCGGAUUGUAAACCUCUGUCCUCUGUGAAGAUAAUGACGGUAGCAGAGGAGGAAGCUCCGGCUAACUACGUGCCAGCAGCCGCGGUAAUACGUAGGGAGCAAGCGUUGUCCGGAUUUACUGGGUGUAAAGGGUGCGUAGGCGGCUUUGCAAGUCAGAAGUGAAAUCCAAGGGCUUAACCCAUGAACUGCUUUUGAAACUGCAGAGCUUGAGUGGAGUAGAGGUAGGCGGAAUUCCAGGUGUAGCGGUGAAAUGCGUAGAGAUCGGGAGGAACACCAGUGGCGAAGGAGGCCUACUGGGCUCUAACUGACGCUGAGGCACGAAAGCGUGGGUAGCAAACAG
Molecule: ribosomal RNA, 401 nt
Filed under: uncultured bacterium
Lineage: Bacteria
Description: bacterial SSU rRNA
Rfam family: Bacterial small subunit ribosomal RNA
Source: RNAcentral